UGAAGGUCCUCUGGAUUGUAAACUUCUUUAUAUGGGACGAAACCCUCGGAUUCCUCCGGGAUUGACGGUACCAUAGGAAUAAGCACCGGCUAACUCCGUGCCAGCAGCCGCGGUAAUACGGAGGGUGCAAGCGUUAUCCGGAUUCACUGGGUUUAAAGGGUGCGUAGGAGGACUGGUAAGUCAGUGGUGAAAUCCCCGAGCUUAACUUGGGAACUGCCGUUGAUACUAUCAGUCUUGAAUACCGUGGAGGUGAGCGGAAUAUGUCAUGUAGCGGUGAAAUGCUUAGAUAUGACAUAGAACACCAAUUGCGAAGGCAGCUCGCUACACGAAUAUUGACUCUGAGGCACGAAAGCGUGGGGAUCAAACAGGAUUAGAUACCCUGGUAGUCCACGCCCUAAACGAUGGAUACUCGACAUACGCGAUACACAGUGUGUGUCUGAGCGAAAGCAUUAAGUAUCCCACCUGGGAAGUACGACCGCAAGGUUG
This 486-nucleotide ribosomal RNA is filed under the name uncultured Bacteroidota bacterium. RNAcentral's name for it is "bacterial SSU rRNA". It matches the Rfam family "Bacterial small subunit ribosomal RNA", at positions 409 to 896 of the family's 1533-position model. The record is from RNAcentral. Lineage: Bacteria; Pseudomonadati; Bacteroidota.